Molecule: ribosomal RNA, 222 nt
Filed under: uncultured bacterium
Lineage: Bacteria
Description: partial 16S ribosomal RNA
Rfam family: Bacterial small subunit ribosomal RNA
Source: RNAcentral
GGUAAUGUCUGGGAAACUGCCUGAUGGAGGGGGAUAACUGCUGGAAACGGUAGCUAAUACCGCAUAACGUCGCAAGACCAAAGAGGGGGACCUUCGGGCCUCUUGCCAUCGGAUGUGCCCAGAUGGGAUUAGCUAGUAGGUGGGGUAACGGCUCACCUAGGCGACGAUCCCUAGCUGGUCUGAGAGGAUGACCAGCCACACUGGAACUGAGACACGGUCCAG